RNAcentral lists this ribosomal RNA (253 nucleotides) under uncultured bacterium. Its description in RNAcentral is "partial 16S ribosomal RNA". It matches the Rfam family "Bacterial small subunit ribosomal RNA", at positions 524 to 776 of the family's 1533-position model. The record is from RNAcentral.
UACGAAGGGAGCUAGCGUUGUUCGGAAUCACUGGGCGUAAAGCGCACGUAGGCGGAUGUGUCAGUCAGGGGUGAAAUCCCGGAGCUCAACUUCGGAACUGCCUUUGAUACAGCACGUCUUGAGUCCGGAAGAGGUGGGUGGAAUUCCGAGUGUAGAGGUGAAAUUCGUAGAUAUUCGGAGGAACACCAGUGGCGAAGGCGGCUCACUGGUCCGGUACUGACGCUGAGGUGCGAAAGCGUGGGGAGCAAACAGG